UUUGAUCAUGGCUCAGAUUGAACGCUGGCGGCAGGCCUAACACAUGCAAGUCGAGCGGCAGCGGAAAGUAGCUUGCUACUUUGCCGGCGAGCGGCGGACGGGUGAGUAAUGUCUGGGAAACUGCCCGAUGGAGGGGGAUAACUACUGGAAACGGUGGCUAAUACCGCAUAACGUCUUCGGACCAAAGUGGGGGACCUUCGGGCCUCACACCAUCGGAUGUGCCCAGAUGGGAUUAGCUAGUAGGUGAGGUAACGGCUCACCUAGGCGACGAUCCCUAGCUGGUCUGAGAGGAUGACCAGCCACACUGGAACUGAGACACGGUCCAGACUCCUACGGGAGGCAGCAGUGGGGAAUAUUGCACAAUGGGCGCAAGCCUGAUGCAGCCAUGCCGCGUGUGUGAAGAAGGCCUUCGGGUUGUAAAGCACUUUCAGCGAGGAGGAAGGCAGUCGUGUUAAUAGCGCGAUUGAUUGACGUUACUCGCAGAAGAAGCACCGGCUAACUCCGUGCCAGCAGCCGCGGUAAUACGGAGGGUGCAAGCGUUAAUCGGAAUUACUGGGCGUAAAGCGCACGCAGGCGGU
RNAcentral lists this ribosomal RNA (578 nucleotides) under uncultured Enterobacteriaceae bacterium. Its description in RNAcentral is "bacterial SSU rRNA". It matches the Rfam family "Bacterial small subunit ribosomal RNA", at positions 12 to 579 of the family's 1533-position model. The record is from RNAcentral. Lineage: Bacteria; Pseudomonadati; Pseudomonadota; Gammaproteobacteria; Enterobacterales; Enterobacteriaceae.